UACGUAGGGGGCAAGCGUUGUCCGGAAUCAUUGGGCGUAAAGCGCGUGUAGGCGGUUACGUAAGUCUGCUGUGAAAGUCGGAGGCUCAACCUUCGAAAGCCGGUGGAUACUGCGUGACUAGAGUACGGAAGAGGAGAGUGGAAUUCCUGGUGUAGCGGUGAAAUGCGCAGAUAUCUGGAGGAACACCGGUGGCGAAGGCGGCAUCCUGGACCGGCAUUGACGCUGAGGCGCGAAAGCCAGGGGAGCAAACGGG
RNAcentral lists this ribosomal RNA (253 nucleotides) under uncultured bacterium. RNAcentral's name for it is "partial 16S ribosomal RNA". It matches the Rfam family "Bacterial small subunit ribosomal RNA", at positions 524 to 776 of the family's 1533-position model. The record is from RNAcentral.